AUGGUUCGCACUCGCGGCGGCAAGGACAACUGGGUGUUGCCGCCGGACGCCGGCGUCCCUCUCGGUGAAGACGGUGUCCAGCUCAAGGAGGAAGACGGGGAGACCGCAGCGACGGUGAUGGUGCCCGCCGCCGCCGCCGCCCCAAGAGUGGAGAUCGCCGUCGACUUCGACAAGUCCCUGCUGGACUGCCCCGUCUGCUCCUUGCCGCUCAAGCCUCCCGUCUUCCAGUGCCCGGCGAAGCACGCGGCGUGCGGCCCCUGCGCCGCGAACCUGGCCAACAAGUGCCCGGCGUGCGACGGCGCGUACGAGCGCGACGACGCGGCCGACCGCUACCUCCUGGCGGUAAGGGUGCCCUGCCCCAACCAGGCGUACGGCUGCGGUAGCUCCGUGGUGUACUGCAUGGCGGGCGACCACCGGCUGGUGUGCCCGCACGCUCCGUGCCGCUGCCCCGAGCCCGGAUGCGGCUUCCUCGGCGCCCCGCCCGCGCUCCGCGGCCACCUCGCCGAGCGCCACCAGUGGCAAGUGACCGACAUCGCCUACGGGUCCGUGCUCGAGAUCCAGAUGCAGGCGGUGGAGCAGGGGUGGCGGCUGCUGGCCGCGGAGGACGGGGAGCAGCUGUUCCUGCUCGUGGCGAGCGAGCGCGGCGUCAAGGUGGUGCGCGUGGCCGCGCCCGCGGAGGAGGAAGGCUGGUACAGGUGCAAGGUGUGGGUGCACGCGCCCGUGGACACGGACACCUGCCACAUGGACGUCCUGAUGCUGGACGCCAAGGUGGAGAGCUGCCCGGUGCCGUCGGAGGAGGCGGCCAUGGGCGCGGGUGGCAGGUACCUGCCGGUGCCGUCCGACGUGCCGGCGCCGGAUGGAGGAGGGAUCGUCAUCCGUCUCCGCAUCGACAAGGAGGUCAAGGCGAGCCACGGCAACAAGUGCCCGGCUGUACGCUAUAUAUGCAGCUGA
This 951-nucleotide ribosomal RNA is filed under the name Triticum aestivum (bread wheat). RNAcentral describes it as "partial small subunit ribosomal RNA". Lineage: Eukaryota; Viridiplantae; Streptophyta; Magnoliopsida; Poales; Poaceae. The record is from RNAcentral.